Molecule: ribosomal RNA, 301 nt
Filed under: uncultured bacterium
Lineage: Bacteria
Description: partial 16S ribosomal RNA
Rfam family: Bacterial small subunit ribosomal RNA
Source: RNAcentral
CAGCCGCCGCGGUAAUACGUAGGUCCCGAGCGUUGUCCGGAUUUAUUGGGCGUAAAGCGAGCGCAGGCGGUUAGAUAAGUCUGAAGUUAAAGGCUGUGGCUUAACCAUAGUACCCUUUGGAAACUGUUUAACUUGAGUGCAGAAGGGGAGAGUGGAAUUCCAUGUGUAGCGGUGAAAUGCGUAGAUAUAUGGAGGAACACCGGUGGCGAAAGCGGCUCUCUGGUCUGUAACUGACGCUGAGGCUCGAAAGCGUGGGGAGCGAACAGGAUUAGAUACCCCGGUAGUCCCUGUCUCUUAUACC